UGCUGACAUCACUCUCCCUGGUAAUAUUCUUUAUUCUGACAUUUACUUUGUCCAGUAUUAAAAAUGCAUGCUUGCUUCCUUGACUGGUUCUUGACAUGAUAUAUCCUUUGCAACCCUUUAACCUGUUUGUGUCUUUAUGUUUAAAGUGUUUCUUGUAGGCAGCAAAUAAUUGGGUCUUGCUAUUGUGUCUAACCUGCCAAUUUCUGUCUUUUAGUUGGAGUGAUUAGACCAUUUACAUUUAAUGUGAUUAUUGAUAUGGUUAGGUUUAUGUCUAUAAUCUGGAAAUUCUCAAGGCAAUAAGCUUGGGCAACUGAAAGGCUCAUCUCUUUUGUUUCCUUCCUCUCAGGGGUCACAGUCCUUUGAUGCUUGAUAUAAGUAUCUUGAAAUGAUUGUUUCAUAUAUUUUGUCCAAGUUUUUGGUUGUUUCAGGUGGGAGGGUCAAUCCAGUUCCUGUUACUCCAUCUUCAGCAGAAGUGGAGGUCUGGAAAUAUCUUUUAAUGAUUAGUUGGAGCAUCUUUAACCUAUAAUGUCUUCCUUCCUUUACCUAUCUUAUACAUAGUUUUGUGAAGGGUGAAGAUUGCCCUGAGUUCAGAACAAUUUAGGCAACAUAGAAUAGUGAUGCUGAUUCUUAUGAAUGUAAUUGUGUGGCUUGGGGACUGAUACAUUUUUCAAGAAACAUCUGAUAAAAUCCAGAUAGAAAUUUUAUGUGACUUUUCAGAUAUGACCACUUGCUCUGGGACUAGCCCACUGCCACGUCAGAAGGACAUCCAAGCAGCUCUAGUCAGGCAAGGAACGCAGGCUGCCUGCCAACAGCCAUGUGAGUGUGACAUUUGCAAGUGACUCCUCCAACCCCAGUCAAGCGUUCAGAGGACUGAAGCCCCAGCUGACUUCACUGCAACCUCCUGAGAGAUACUGAGCCAGAACCAUUCAGCCAAGCCAUUUCUGAAUUCCUAACCAACAGCAACUGUGAGAUAAAAUGUCUACUGUUUUAAGGUGCUAAGCUUUGGAGUAAUAUGUAACCCAGCAAUCGAUAAUGAAUACACCCAGGAAGAAUGAAGAUUUUUUUUUUUAAAAAAGCACAUCUAGAAAUUAAGAAGAAUUCUUACAAGCAUCAGACAGAAAGAACAAGCUUCUUACAAAAGAAACAAAAGUAGAUGAAUAUUUCUUUCUUAUCAGUGAUAGUGGAAGCUGGAAGUGAACAACUACAAUUUUUGGACAGGCAAAGAUUCCGUUUACCUAUGGCACCCUAUUUUCAAAAAUAAUGGAAGAAAUUCUCCAACCUUUUAAGAAUGGAAUAGAAUUUAACCACGACUACACCAAGAUUUUAGGAGUAAGAAAAAGAG
Molecule: long non-coding RNA, 1342 nt
Filed under: Equus caballus (horse)
Lineage: Eukaryota; Metazoa; Chordata; Mammalia; Perissodactyla; Equidae
Description: lncRNA (ENSECAG00000050632.1)
Source: RNAcentral